Long non-coding RNA from Eptesicus fuscus (big brown bat), 247 nucleotides. RefSeq lists it as uncharacterized. NCBI's taxonomy places the organism in Eukaryota, Metazoa, Chordata, Mammalia, Chiroptera, Vespertilionidae. The record is from RefSeq and is a predicted model, not a curated record. The transcript is spliced from 3 exons.
UCAGAGAAACCUGAGGCUGCCUGAGCCUGAGUUCCGGCACCACAGUGGAAGCCCCCUGAGGAAGCCCAGUUCUGCCAUCCUAAGCGGAGCUGCCCUGGUUCACCUCGCUGCACCUGCCAGAUGCCUUCUGCAGCUUCCCAGCUCAGGCCAGACCACGGAAUGACGGGGAGCCACAAGAAGCCACCAGGAUGAGGCCAUCUUGCACAUUCCAGCCCCAGCCAAGCUCCUAGCUGAGUCUACCAACAAA